GACGAACGCUGGCGGCGUGCUUAACACAUGCAAGUCGAACGGAAAGGCCCUGCUUUUGUGGGGUGCUCGAGUGGCGAACGGGUGAGUAACACGUGAGUAACCUGCCCUUGACUUUGGGAUAACUUCAGGAAACUGGGGCUAAUACCGUAUAGGAGCUCCUGCUGCAUGGUGGGGGUUGGAAAGUUUCGGCGGUUGGGGAUGGACUCGCGGCUUAUCAGCUUGUUGGUGGGGUAGUGGCUUACCAAGGCUUUGACGGGUAGCCGGCCUGAGAGGGUGACCGGCGACAUGGGGACUGAGAUAGGGACCAGAGUGCUACGGGAGGCAGCAGUGGGGAACAUUGCACAACGGGCGGAAGCCUGAGGCAGCAACGCCGCGUGCGUGAUGACGGUCUUUGGGUUGUAAACCGCUUUCGCUUGUGACGAAGCGGUAGUGACGGUAAUGGGUAAAGAAGCACCGGCUAACUACGUG
RNAcentral lists this ribosomal RNA (468 nucleotides) under uncultured bacterium. Its description in RNAcentral is "partial 16S ribosomal RNA". It matches the Rfam family "Bacterial small subunit ribosomal RNA", at positions 28 to 507 of the family's 1533-position model. The record is from RNAcentral.